Molecule: ribosomal RNA, 1123 nt
Filed under: Escherichia coli
Lineage: Bacteria; Pseudomonadati; Pseudomonadota; Gammaproteobacteria; Enterobacterales; Enterobacteriaceae
Description: partial 23S ribosomal RNA
Rfam family: Bacterial large subunit ribosomal RNA
Source: RNAcentral
GAUGCCCUGGCAGUCAGAGGCGAUGAAGGACGUGCUAAUCUGCGAUAAGCGUCGGUAAGGUGAUAUGAACCGUUAUAACCGGCGAUUUCCGAAUGGGGAAACCCAGUGUGAUUCGUCACACUAUCAUUAACUGAAUCCAUAGGUUAAUGAGGCGAACCGGGGGAACUGAAACAUCUAAGUACCCCGAGGAAAAGAAAUCAACCGAGAUUCCCCCAGUAGCGGCGAGCGAACGGGGAGGAGCCCAGAGCCUGAAUCAGUGUGUGUGUUAGUGGAAGCGUCUGGAAAGGCGCGCGAUACAGGGUGACAGCCCCGUACACAAAAAUGCACAUGCUGUGAGCUCGAUGAGUAGGGCGGGACACGUGGUAUCCUGUCUGAAUAUGGGGGGACCAUCCUCCAAGGCUAAAUACUCCUGACUGACCGAUAGUGAACCAGUACCGUGAGGGAAAGGCGAAAAGAACCCCGGCGAGGGGAGUGAAAAAGAACCUGAAACCGUGUACGUACAAGCAGUGGGAGCACGCUUAGGCGUGUGACUGCGUACCUUUUGUAUAAUGGGUCAGCGACUUAUAUUCUGUAGCAAGGUUAACCGAAUAGGGGAGCCGAAGGGAAACCGAGUCUUAACUGGGCGUUAAGUUGCAGGGUAUAGACCCGAAACCCGGUGAUCUAGCCAUGGGCAGGUUGAAGGUUGGGUAACACUAACUGGAGGACCGAACCGACUAAUGUUGAAAAAUUAGCGGAUGACUUGUGGCUGGGGGUGAAAGGCCAAUCAAACCGGGAGAUAGCUGGUUCUCCCCGAAAGCUAUUUAGGUAGCGCCUCGUGAAUUCAUCUCCGGGGGUAGAGCACUGUUUCGGCAAGGGGGUCAUCCCGACUUACCAACCCGAUGCAAACUGCGAAUACCGGAGAAUGUUAUCACGGGAGACACACGGCGGGUGCUAACGUCCGUCGUGAAGAGGGAAACAACCCAGACCGCCAGCUAAGGUCCCAAAGUCAUGGUUAAGUGGGAAACGAUGUGGGAAGGCCCAGACAGCCAGGAUGUUGGCUUAGAAGCAGCCAUCAUUUAAAGAAAGCGUAAUAGCUCACUGGUCGAGUCGGCCUGCGCGGAAGAUGUAACGGGGCUAAACCAUG